Molecule: long non-coding RNA, 1201 nt
Organism: Engraulis encrasicolus (European anchovy)
Lineage: Eukaryota; Metazoa; Chordata; Actinopteri; Clupeiformes; Engraulidae
Exons: 4
Source: RefSeq, a predicted model, not a curated record
GUUGGGGUUGAUGAUCCACAUGAUGGUGAUGGACCAGGACAGCUCUGGACCUCCUGACUGGCAGCUCCAUCCUCAACCUCCCUUCCUGUCCUUCACACAUGUGCAGGCAGAGGCAGUUUUCUGAAGGAUGGUUAAUGUCAGUACCAACAUGUUGUGAUGGAGGCUUCCACCUGAGCUGAACACAGAAACUUGCACACAGUGAUGGAAGCAGUCGUUCCUGUUCAGCAUUGAUAUGCCGGUAAUGGGUUUGAUGAGCCACAGCAUGGUGAUGGGCAAUCAGCAUCAGGACCAGGGCCGCUCACAAGGAGAACCUCCUGCCCUGCCUCUUCAUCCUCAACCUCCAAUCUUCCUGCUCUUCACACAUGUGCAGGCACAGAGCCAGUUUUCAGAGGGAGGGCUGAUGACACCAGCAACUUCGGAUCUGAACCUGAUCAACCCAGCACCAACCACUGUGCCGCUCCUCCUCUGCCAACUGCACCACAUGGCUCCACCAUCUCAAAAAGGCACAGACACUACUCCACUUCCUGCGAAGGAUGAGAGAAGAGCCGACCUCCCCACAACGGCACUCACCACCUUCUACAGGGGUGUCAUUGAGAGCAUCCUGACCAGCAGCCUCUCUGUCUGGCAUGGCAGCCGUCAAGCUGAAGACUAGAAGGCAGUACAGAGAGUGGUGAGGACAGCAGAAAAGCUCAUAAGAUCACCCCUACCUGUUCUCCCUACUACCAUCAGGGAAGCGCUAGCCCAGCAUGCGGUGCUGCAAAAGCACACUGGGAAACGACUUCUUUCCACAAGCCAUCAGACUCCUCAACGCACUGAAGAAAACCACAUGAAUAACCAAGGACACGGGAGAAUAUUCCAUGAACACUUCUUUCACCAUGCCACUUACACUUUACUCAUUGCACCUUGUAUACAGCCUCUUCACACCACCUGUAUGAACUCCUCCUGCCGUGUGUGUGUGUCCACUGUGUUUGUGUAUUUAUUGUCCAUCAGUAUGUUAAUCUUAUUAUUGCACACUGUUUGGGUGUCUGUAUUUAUAGUAUGUAUCAGUCUGUAUUUAAUGCCAAUGCCUUAUUUUUAGUUAUUAGUUAAAUGCACAUUUGAGACUGGUCAAACACAAUUUCAAACUUUGUGUUAACCCUCUUGUUGACCGUUCACACUUCAUAGUGUAAAAGUAAACAGAAAUAAAUUCACAUUUCAUUCC